GUCUACAGCCAUGCUACCCUGAACAAGCCCAAUCCUGUCUGAGAUCAGAAGCUAAGCAGGGUCGGGACUGGUUAGUACUUAGAUAAGAGACCACCUAGGAAGACCAGGUGCUGUAGGCG
Molecule: ribosomal RNA, 119 nt
Filed under: Pteropus alecto (black flying fox)
Lineage: Eukaryota; Metazoa; Chordata; Mammalia; Chiroptera; Pteropodidae
Also listed under: 1 other name
Source: RNAcentral